Molecule: ribosomal RNA, 693 nt
Filed under: uncultured bacterium
Lineage: Bacteria
Description: bacterial SSU rRNA
Rfam family: Bacterial small subunit ribosomal RNA
Source: RNAcentral
UAANGCGUGGGUAACCUGCCNCACACUGGGGGAUAACAGUUAGAAAUAGCUGCUAAUACCGCAUAAGCGCACAGUUCCGCAUGGAACGGUGUGAAAAACUCCGGUGGUGUGAGAUGGAUCCGCGUCUGAUUAGGUAGNUGGUGAGGCAACGGCCCACCAAGCCGACGAUCAGUAGCCGACCUGAGAGGGUGACCGGCCACAUUGGGACUGAGACACGGCCCAAACUCCUACGGGAGGCAGCAGUGGGGAAUAUUGCACAAUGGGCGAAAGCCUGAUGCAGCAACGCCGCGUGAGUGAAGAAGUAUCUCGGUAUGUAAAGCUCUAUCANCAGGGAAGAAAAUGACGGUACCUGACUAAGAAGCCCCGGCUAACUACGUGCCAGCAGCCGCGGUAAUACGUAGGGGGCAAGCGUUAUCCGGAUUUACUGGGUGUAAAGGGAGCGCAGACGGCACUGCAAGUCUGAAGUGAAAGCCCGGGGCUCAACCCCGGGACUGCUUUGGAAACUGUAGAGCUAGAGUGCUGGAGAGGCAAGCGGAAUUCCUAGUGUAGCGGUGAAAUGCGUAGAUAUUAGGAAGAACACCAGUGGCGAGGGCGGCUUGCUGGACAGUAACUGACGUUCAGGCUCGAAAGCGUGGNGAGCAAACAGGAUUAGAUACCCUGGUAGUCCACGCCGUAACGAUGAAUACUANGUGU